Molecule: ribosomal RNA, 253 nt
Filed under: uncultured bacterium
Lineage: Bacteria
Description: partial 16S ribosomal RNA
Rfam family: Bacterial small subunit ribosomal RNA
Source: RNAcentral
GACGAAGGGGGCUAGCGUUGUUCGGAAUUACUGGGCGUAAAGCGCGUGUAGGCGGUUGCCCAAGUCGGGUGUGAAAGCCUUGAGCUCAACUCAAGAAAUGCACUCGGUACUGGGUGACUAGAGGACCGGAGAGGAUAGUGGAAUUCCCGGUGUAGUGGUGAAAUGCGUAGAUAUCGGGAGGAACACCAGUGGCGAAGGCGACUACCUGGCCUGUUCUUGACGCUGAGGCGCGAAAGCUAGGGGAGCAAACGGG